AGAGUUUGAUCCUGGCUCAGGAUGAACGCUGGCGGCGUGCUUAACACAUGCAAGUCGAACGAACCUUCGGGUUAGUGGCGGACGGGUGAGUAACGCGUGAGAAUCUGCCCUCAGGAGGGGGAUAACGGUUGGAAACGACCGCUAAUACCCCAUAUGCCGAGAGGUGAAAUGAAUUUCGCCUGAGGAUGAGCUCGCGUCUGAUUAGUUAGUUGGUGGGGUAAUGGCCUACCAAGACAUCGAUCAGUAGCUGGUCUGAGAGGAUGAUCAGCCACACUGGGACUGAGACACGGCCCAGACUCCUACGGGAGGCAGCAGUGGGGAAUUUUCCGCAAUGGGCGAAAGCCUGACGGAGCAACGCCGCGUGAGGGAUGAAGGCCUCUGGGCUGUAAACCUCUUUUAUCAAGGAAGAAGAUCUGACGGUACUUGAUGAAUAAGCCACGGCUAAUUCCGUGCCAGCAGCCGCGGUAAUACGGGAGUGGCAAGCGUUAUCCGGAAUUAUUGGGCGUAAAGCGUCCGCAGGCGGUCUGUCAAGUCUGCUGUUAAAGCGUGGAGCUUAACUCCAUUUCGGCAGUGGAAACUGACAGACUAGAGUGUGGUAGGGGCAGAGGGAAUUCCCGGUGUAGCGGUGAAAUGCGUAGAUAUCGGGAAGAACACCAGUGGCGAAGGCGCUCUGCUGGGCCAUAACUGACGCUCAUGGACGAAAGCCAGGGGAGCGAAAGGGAUUAGAUACCCCUGUAGUCCUGGCCGUAAACGAUGAACACUAGUGUCGGGGGAAUCGACCCCCUCGGUGUCGUAGCCAACGCGUUAAGUGUUCCGCCUGGGGAGUACGCACGCAAGUGUGAAACUCAAAGGAAUUGACGG
Molecule: ribosomal RNA, 861 nt
Filed under: uncultured marine bacterium
Lineage: Bacteria
Description: bacterial SSU rRNA
Rfam family: Bacterial small subunit ribosomal RNA
Source: RNAcentral